UACGUAGGAUGCAAGCGUUAUCCGGAAUUACUGGGCGUAAAGCGUGUGUAGGUGGUCUUUUAAGUUAAAUGUUAAAUCUACAGGCUCAACUUGUAGACCGCAUUUAAUACUGGGAGGCUUGAGGAUGGAAGAGGUAAGCGGAAUUAGUGGUGGAGCGGUGAAAUGCGUAGAUAUCACUAAGAACACCAAUGGCGAAGGCAGCUUACUGGGCCAUUCCUGACACUGAGACACGAAAGCGUGGGGAG
This 245-nucleotide ribosomal RNA is filed under the name uncultured bacterium. RNAcentral describes it as "partial 16S ribosomal RNA". It matches the Rfam family "Bacterial small subunit ribosomal RNA", at positions 524 to 768 of the family's 1533-position model. The record is from RNAcentral.